This is a long non-coding RNA of Scylla paramamosain (green mud crab), 2070 nucleotides long. RefSeq lists it as uncharacterized. The transcript is spliced from 2 exons. The record is from RefSeq and is a predicted model, not a curated record. NCBI's taxonomy places the organism in Eukaryota, Metazoa, Arthropoda, Malacostraca, Decapoda, Portunidae.
UAGUUUACCACUUCCAACGUAAUCGCAGAAUAAUUCCUCUUGGAAGUUGAUAAUCUGCGUAUAGUGUCGUACAAUAGUCACACACCAGUUCCUUUAGGUAAACUAUUUGUUAUAUUGGCUAAUAUGAUAAUUAUAGAAUGGUCACUCAACAAUGUUUCCACUAGGACGAACAACCCCACUCGCUUAUGAAACCUCAGUUCCAUGGUAUAGCAGGUCGACGUUUUACUUAAAGAAUAUCCACACCUUUCCAGUUUUGGAUGCUAACCGGGGUAACUCAAUCAUCUUCCAAGACUGAAUAACAUUAUGAUUGUGGCGCUUCCUGGCUUUCCACUUUCCCUUACAUAUCCAGUCACGCGGCAAUUUCAAAAUACACGUUAGAAUAUUUUCGCGAACGGUGAGUUUAUUUGACGGUUUAAAAUUGUUUGUAUUUGUCACACACUACUACUACUACUACUGUGACUACUCUACCACGGAACCAGGUGCCUGCCUCUCAACUCGUGGCGCUGCCACGUGUAUAGCUUGAGGCAUACUGGAUACGUGACCUCUAGCAGGCUACCAAGCCGAUAACGAGGGGUGGAGUUCCAUCGAGCUUCAGUCUCCUCCAAGGGUCGCUACAGCUCUGAGGUCGCCUUGGCAUACGCUGGGAGCCUCAUAUACACUCGAGAGCGGUGAACCCCGCGUGGCUGUAGUGCAUCCCCUCUUAUGCUGUUGUCCUGCUUGAUAUGCUGCGGUGGAGCUUCUAUCGUCCUGGAAGAGCAAGGAAGGGCAGCACGAUAAGCCUUUGUGUAACAUGUCCUGCCUGUGUUUCAGCGGCAGCCAUGGAGAGUCUAGUUUAUAAUUCCGAGAUGCAGGGAAGGGAAGAAAUAACGUCACAUUUGUGUAGAGACGGGAGGGAAGAAGGGAUGGAGGGAAUAAAUAGUUCAACAAACAUAUCUAUUAGAUUUUAGUUUCGUUGCAUCAGAUUGUCUAGGGUUACUCUAGUUAAAUAGUUCUCGUCUUACUGUAAUUUCCAGUCAAGAGUAAUUCAACGCUUGAUUUCAGCGUGGCGGUAAGAACUAUAGAGGGAAUGAUGAAACUCGAAAAGGUAGAAGCCACGCUAAACUUUGGCAUCUCAGCUGUACAGAGGCCAGGAGUUCAUUUGUUAUUUAAUAUCGAUAAAUUGCAAUUUAAUAUCGAUAAAUUGCAAUUUAAUAUCGAUAAAUUGCAAUUUAAUAUCGAUAAAUGCAAAGUCCUUAGCGUAGGUAGAGGAAACCCACACAAUAGGUACACAUUAAACACCCAAACUCUGGUAGGUACAGGGUACGAGAAAGAUUUAGGAGUUAUAGUUAGCUCUGAACUCCGUCUAGGGAAACAAUGCAUAGAAGCCAGAAACAAGGCAAAUAGGGUACUAGGAUUCAUUUUUAGGAGUGUUAAAAGUAGAAGGCCGGAAGUAAUAUUAAAGUUAUACUUGGCGCUGGUCAGACCUCAUCUAGACUACGCUGUGCAGUUCUGGUCCCCACAUUACAGGAAAGAUAUAGGUCUAUUAGAAUCAGUACAGAGGAGAAUGACUAAAAGGAUACAGGGGAUGAGGAGUAUUCCUUACGAAGCGAGGUUGAAGCGGUUAAAUUUACAUUCUCUAGAGAGACGUAGGUUAAGAGGGGACCUGAUAGAAGUCUUUAAGUGGUAUAAGGGUUAUAACAAGGGAGAUGUAAGCAAAAUUCUUAGGAUCAGCAACCAGGGUAGAACAAGAAAUAACGGGUUCAAGCUUGAAAAAUUUAGGUUUAGGAAGGAGAUAGGAAAAAAUUGGUUCUCGAAUAGAGUGGUAGAUGAGUGGAACGGACUCAGUAAUCAUGUAGUUAGUGCUAGGACACUAGAGAGCUUUAAGAGAAGAUUAGACAAGUUUAUGGAUGGGGAUAACAGAUGGAAAUAGGUAGGAGUGUUUCAUACAGGGACUGCCACGUGUAAGCCUGGUCGCUUCUUGCAGCUUCCCUUAUUUCUUAUGUUCUUAUGUUCUUAUUUGUGGUUAAGGUCAAAACUUGUGGUCUUUCAUAUUUUAUAAAGGAACACUUUUCAAUAAAGGGCCAGAAAGCC